Molecule: ribosomal RNA, 253 nt
Filed under: uncultured bacterium
Lineage: Bacteria
Description: partial 16S ribosomal RNA
Rfam family: Bacterial small subunit ribosomal RNA
Source: RNAcentral
UACGGGGGGGGUAAGCGUUGUUCGGAAUUACUGGGCGUAAAGGGUCUGUAGGUGGCUUGCUAAGUCAGACGUGAAAUCCCUCAGCUUAACUGGGGAACUGCGUCUGAGACUGGCGAGCUUGAGUGCAGGAGAGGAACGCGGAAUUCCAGGUGUAGCGGUGAAAUGCGUAGAUAUCUGGAGGAACACCGGUGGCGAAAGCGAUGCACUGGCUGGUUUCUGACGCUGAGGUGCGAAAGCCAGGGGAGCAAACGGG